AUUGGAUGAGAAUGUCCUUCCAAAUCCUGAGUUUGUGAGGGAAUUCUUAGCUUCUCCCAGGCAGUUGCCUAGAAGUUUAGUACCAGUCCAGAAGCUUCUCACUUGUGCUAGCUCCGUCUCUGGCAGGUAGCGGAGGAGAGUGAUCUGUGCGUAGGAAGAUAUUCCUGGCAGAACAAAGGUGGCUUCAUGUGAAGGGCCGCAGAACAGUGGAGGCAGAUAAACCGUUAGAGGGACUGUUACAGAGUUCAAACCAGGGGGGCGAGCUCUGAACUCCGGGUGGGAAUGAGCCAUUCCAUCUAGCCCAAAUGCAUUGCUGUGUUUCUGCUCCUGCUGUAUAAAACAAUAUAAAUUCUGAGCAGUGCGGAGAUUGGUAAAAUGGACAGACAGGCAGGACCUGCAGUAUGAUGUUGAAAAGCAGCAGCAAUAGGGGACAUCCUUGCCUUGUCACCGGUCUUAGUGAGAGAGCUUCCAGUUUCUCACUAAAAGAAAAAGUACCCUAAAGAAUCCUACCCUGCAGAAAUCUUUCAUUGCUUCAAGAUUCUUUAGAAUUAUGGUGUCUCCAAAGUGAUUUAUUAUUGAUGUACUGAAACACACUUGGGGCUCUCGCUGUUGGCACUGAACAACAUGGAGAGUGAAAAAGACAUCAAUGAAGAAACUAUCAUCAAAAAGCUUAAUUAUUAGUAUUCCUUACAAUGACUCAUAUAAUCCUUACAAUAUAAAUAAAAAUCAAGUUCUCAAACAGCA
Molecule: long non-coding RNA, 744 nt
Filed under: Equus caballus (horse)
Lineage: Eukaryota; Metazoa; Chordata; Mammalia; Perissodactyla; Equidae
Description: lncRNA (ENSECAG00000038572.3)
Source: RNAcentral